AGGGACUGCUGUUGACUUUUGUGUGCCUGGAGCUGACAAUACGGACCAGCUGUUGUACAGAGGAGUGUAUGUCUCCUUUCAUACCAUCCCAGAUACAGGACUACAGAGAAAGAAGCCAAAAAUGGUUUGAAAUGGAAUUAUUUAAAAUUCUUUACAGAGACAAACUUCCACAUCUUGUUCAAGCCCCCAGUUAUGGUGUGACAGACAUUUACGUGUGCUUGAAGCCCUGGUGACUAAGAAGGUGCUGCCAUUUCAAUUUUGUACACUCUGACAAUGAAUGAGAAAAUUUUUUCAUUUCUCACAUUCUACUGCACAGGCAUCCUCAUAAGAAUCAGGACUUGUGAACUGCAGCCAUUUCACUCUGCAAACCUUGGACAAAGUUUGUAGGUGAAGAACAAAUUUAUAGCAAGUUUACUAGUCUCCAUGUUCUUCAAGCAAGAAAAAAAUAUACUUUUUAAUUGUGUGCUUUUGUUUGAUAUAAAUUGUCUUUUGGCUGAGCUUGCUCACAAUAAAAGAGCACUCACUGGAUAAGCUCAACUCCUGCUGGCUUGUUACAGCUAUUCCCCCCAGAAUCUGGAAUAUUUGAUGUUGUUAUCAGAACUGUUGUGUUUGGAAAUUUCAGUCUGGAAGCUGAAAUCUACAUUGAGGGAUAGAAAAUCGGAGGAUACUACAUGUCAGUUAAACGUGUUAGCAUGCCCCUGGAAGGGGUACAGGUUGAACGCAUGGAACAGGGGCAAAUAGAAUGUGCAAUUAAAAAAGGUUCGCUGGUAUCGCUCGUCUGACCAUGCAUCCUAAGUCUAAUGAGCGCACUAAAGAGUGAAAAAAAAGUGCCAUUUGAAUGGACUCAUUCUUGUUUUUAUGCUAUAUUAUAUUUCUUCCUUCUUUUCCUUCAUUAGUGUCUACAUUAGCAGAAAAAAGAGAAUACACCAAUGGGGUAAAGAAUUGAUAACUUCACAACAUACCUGCAAUGACAGUAUUGUUUAGACUUUGAGCACUUGGUAAAUGUUAUAAAUUGAGUUUAAGAAAAAGUGAAUGACAGUAGGCCUUAAUUAAUGCUUGAGAAGAUUAAUUGUUUCAAGGGGAGUGUAUCAAUUUUAAUACAUUUAACUUUUAAAAAUCAGACUGAUUUUGCCACAGGGCACUACAGGUUUGAAAUAUGCAAAGCAUUUCUACAUAAUUUUUAGCACUGUGGCGAUUAUAGUCAUCAUACUGUUACAGUGAUGCUUUCUUUUAACUGUCUUGUUUACACAUGCACAGUGUAUUGUUGAUUAAUUUAAGCUUAUAGAAAAUGUUGCAUGCCUGAGGAUAUUUUCAAUUUGCCAAUACACUGCUGAUUCUAAUUAUUUAGAGAAAUUUUAGUUUUCACAAUGGCCUGCUGGUGCUGUGAGAAGCAAGGCCAUCAGUGUACCAGACAGCACUAGGACCUUGUGCUGUGGCUCAAAUACAGCUAAAAUAAGUUGUGUUAUUUCCAUUUCAUUGCUGUGUAGUGAUCUCUGUGAAGCCCAUUGGUAGGCUCAUAACAAAACCAAUUGUGAUGCUACCUCUUCUGUUAAUUUUGAGGAUUACUUACUGAGUAAUCAGAGGACAUGCCCCUUCAUCCUUGUUUAAAUCCAGUCCCGCUCUCUGUUAU
Molecule: non-coding RNA, 1630 nt
Organism: Cyanistes caeruleus (blue tit)
Lineage: Eukaryota; Metazoa; Chordata; Aves; Passeriformes; Paridae
Source: RefSeq, a predicted model, not a curated record